Molecule: transfer RNA, 72 nt
Filed under: Marmota marmota marmota (Alpine marmot)
Lineage: Eukaryota; Metazoa; Chordata; Mammalia; Rodentia; Sciuridae
Also listed under: 1 other name
Rfam family: tRNA
About the family: Transfer RNA (tRNA) molecules are approximately 80 nucleotides in length.
Source: Rfam by way of RNAcentral
AGGGUUGUGGCUCAGUGGUAGAGCACCUGCCUGGCACUCAUGAGGCCCUGGGUUCCAUCCCCAGCACUGCAA